RNAcentral lists this ribosomal RNA (467 nucleotides) under uncultured bacterium. Its description in RNAcentral is "partial 16S ribosomal RNA". It matches the Rfam family "Bacterial small subunit ribosomal RNA", at positions 28 to 506 of the family's 1533-position model. The record is from RNAcentral.
GACGAACGCUGGCGGCGUGCCUAACACAUGCAAGUCGAACGGAAAGGCCCUGCUUUUGUGGGGUGCUCGAGUGGCGAACGGGUGAGUAACACGUGAGUAACCUGCCCUUGACUUUGGGAUAACUUCAGGAAACUGGGGCUAAUACCGGAUAGGAGCUCCUGCUGCAUGGUGGGGGUUGGAAAGUUUCGGCGGUUGGGGAUGGACUCGCGGCUUAUCAGCUUGUUGGUGGGGUAGUGGCUUACCAAGGCUUUGACGGGUAGCCGGCCUGAGAGGGUGACCGGCCACAUUGGGACUGAGAUACGGCCCAGACUCCUACGGGAGGCAGCAGUGGGGAAUAUUGCACAAUGGGCGGAAGCCUGAUGCAGCAACGCCGCGUGCGGGAUGACGGCCUUCGGGUUGUAAACCGCUUUCGCCUGUGACGAAGCGUGAGUGACGGUAAUGGGUAAAGAAGCACCGGCUAACUACGU